RNAcentral lists this ribosomal RNA (500 nucleotides) under uncultured bacterium. RNAcentral's name for it is "partial 16S ribosomal RNA". It matches the Rfam family "Bacterial small subunit ribosomal RNA", at positions 28 to 523 of the family's 1533-position model. The record is from RNAcentral.
GUUGAACGCUGGCGGCGUGCUUAACACAUGCAAGUCGAUCGGUAACGCGGGGGCAACCCUGGCGACGAGAGGCGGACGGGUGAGGAACGCCUGGGAAUCUGCCCUUCAGCGGGGGACAACACGGGGAAACUCGUGCUAAUACCGCAUACGCUCCACGGAGGAAAGCCGGGGACCGCAAGGCCUGGCACUGAAGGAUGAGCCCAAGUCGGAUUAGCUAGUUGGCGGGGUAACGGCCCACCAAGGCGACGAUCCGUAGCUGGUCUGAGAGGACGAUCAGCCACACUGGGACUGGGACACGGCCCAGACUCCUACGGGAGGCAGCAGUGGGGAAUAUUGGACAAUGGGGGAAACCCUGAUCCAGCGACGCCGCGUGGGUGAAGAAGGCCUGCGGGUUGUAAAGCCCUUUCGGUAGGGACGAAAGCUCUCGACCUAACACGUCGGGAGGUUGACUUAACCUACAAAAGAAGCACCGGCUAACUCUGUGCCAGCCGCCGCCGUAA